Molecule: ribosomal RNA, 1343 nt
Filed under: uncultured bacterium
Lineage: Bacteria
Description: 16S ribosomal RNA
Rfam family: Bacterial small subunit ribosomal RNA
Source: RNAcentral
GACGAACGCUGGCGGCGUGCUUAACACAUGCAAGUCGAACGGAAAGGCCCUGCUUUUGUGGGGUGCUCGAGUGGCGAACGGGUGAGUAACACGUGAGUAACCUGCCCUUGACUUUGGGAUAACUUCAGGAAACUGGGGCUAAUACCGGAUAGGAGCUCCUGCUGCAUGGUGGGGGUUGGAAAGUUUCGGCGGUUGGGGAUGGACUCGCGGCUUAUCAGCUUGUUGGUGGGGUAGUGGCUUACCAAGGCUUUGACGGGUAGCCGGCCUGAGAGGGUGACCGGCCACAUUGGGACUGAGAUACGGCCCAGACUCCUACGGGAGGCAGCAGUGGGGAAUAUUGCACAAUGGGCGGAAGCCUGAUGCAGCAACGCCGCGUGCGGGAUGACGGCCUUCGGGUUGUAAACCGCUUUCGCCUGUGACGAAGCGUGAGUGACGGUAAUGGGUAAAGAAGCACCGGCUAACUACGUGCCAGCAGCCGCGGUGAUACGUAGGGUGCGAGCGUUGUCCGGAUUUAUUGGGCGUAAAGGGCUCGUAGGUGGUUGAUCGCGUCGGAAGUGUAAUCUUGGGGCUUAACCCUGAGCGUGCUUUCGAUACGGGUUGACUUGAGGAAGGUAGGGGAGAAUGGAAUUCCUGGUGGAGCGGUGGAAUGCGCAGAUAUCAGGAGGAACACCAGUGGCGAAGGCGGUUCUCUGGGCCUUUCCUGACGCUGAGGAGCGAAAGCGUGGGGAGCGAACAGGCUUAGAUACCCUGGUAGUCCACGCUGUAAACGGUGGGUACUAGGUGUGGGGUCCAUUCCACGGGUUCCGUGCCGUAGCUAACGCUUUAAGUACCCCGCCUGGGGAGUACGGCCGCAAGGCUAAAACUCAAAGGAAUUGACGGGGCCCCGCACAAGCGGCGGAGCAUGCGGAUUAAUUCGAUGCAACGCGUAGAACCUUACCUGGGUUUGACAUGGAUCGGGAGUACUCAGAGAUGGGUGUGCCUCUUUUGGGGUCGGUUCACAGGUGGUGCAUGGCUGUCGCCAGCUCGUGUCGUGAGAUGUUGGGUUAAGUCCCGCAACGAGCGCAACCCUUGUUCACUGUUGCCAGCACGUUAUGGUGGGGACUCAGUGGAGACCGCCGGGGUCAACUCGGAGGAAGGUGGGGAUGACGUCAAGUCAUCAUGCCCCUUAUGUCCAGGGCUUCACGCAUGCUACAAUGGCUGGUACAGAGAGUGGCGAGCCUGUGAGGGUGAGCGAAUCUCGGAAAGCCGGUCUCAGUUCGGAUUGGGGUCUGCAACUCGACCUCAUGAAGUCGGAGUCGCUAGUAAUCGCAGAUCAGCAACGCUGCGGUGAAUACGUUCCCGGG